RNAcentral lists this long non-coding RNA (477 nucleotides) under Mus spicilegus (steppe mouse). Its description in RNAcentral is "lncRNA (ENSMSIG00000029709.1)". The record is from RNAcentral. Lineage: Eukaryota; Metazoa; Chordata; Mammalia; Rodentia; Muridae.
AAAGAAUCAGUUUUUGUGGCGCAUCAUAAUACCCUGUGACACCUCUCUCUCCUCUCCUCUCCUCCCUCCUUCUUCUUUCUCCUUCUUUCUCCUUAUUUCUUCUUCUUCCUUCUUCUUUUUCUUUCUUCUUCCUUCUUUUUCUUUCUCUUUUUCUCCUUUUUCUUCUCCUUUUCUUCUUCUCCUUUUCUUCUUCAUCUCCUUUUCUUCUUCAUCUUCGUCUUUGUCUUCUUCUUCCUCCUCCUUCUCCUUCUCUCUCUCUCUCUCUCUCUCUCUUUCUCUCUCUCUCAGCACGGAGCAUGUUUCUCUAACAAUUAAAAGACUAUGGCAGACCAGCAAAAGUGAAUCUGUGUGUCCUUUUGAAACGUGAUCUGGUGUUAAGUCACUGUCUCACCACUUCAGUGUCGCACGUCAGCAAUAAUGUCACCAAAUGAAGCUGCCUUAUUUGCAAUCCUGAGAAUAAAGGACAUCUAACAUCCA